GACGAACCGUGCGAACGUUGUUCGGAUUCACUGGGCUUAAAGGGCGCGUAGGCGGGCUCGCAAGUCAGGGGUGAAAUCCUCCGGCUCAACCGGAGAACAGCCUUUGAUACUGCGAGCCUCGAGGAAGGUAGGGGCAUGUGGAACUUCCGGUGGAGCGGUGAAAUGCGUAGAUAUCGGAAGGAACGCCGGUGGCGAAAGCGACGUGCUGGACCUUUUCUGACGCUGAGGCGCGAAAGCCAGGGGAGCAAACGGG
Molecule: ribosomal RNA, 253 nt
Filed under: uncultured bacterium
Lineage: Bacteria
Description: partial 16S ribosomal RNA
Rfam family: Bacterial small subunit ribosomal RNA
Source: RNAcentral